Molecule: long non-coding RNA, 324 nt
Filed under: Vicia faba (fava bean)
Lineage: Eukaryota; Viridiplantae; Streptophyta; Magnoliopsida; Fabales; Fabaceae
Source: RNAcentral
AUGGAGACCAUAGGUCUCCGCGCCGGCUUAAAAAGAAAGGUUUUUACUCCGAGAAGACUUACCAAAAAGAGCCAAAGCGUUCAGCCCAAGGAUCAGGGCAACCUCUUGGAUAUCUCGCUUCUUGGCCGCUCUUUACACUGUCCCACCAUUUGGUGGUGUGCGGAGAAGAUAUAUCCGGGGAAGCGCUUUGAUAAGUAUGCUAUCCUUGGUGACGAUAUUUGUAUCGCCGACUCAAAGGUCGCAGAAGUCUACCUAUCUACACUUAAGGAUUUAGGCUUCUUGGUAAACUUAACCACACUAAGUCGUCUACAGUCUUACGGCUGA